GGGGUUGUGGCUCAGUGGUAGAGCACUCGCCUAUCAUGUGAGAGGCCCUGGGUUCGAUCCUCAGCACCACA
This 71-nucleotide transfer RNA is filed under the name Marmota monax (woodchuck). Its description in RNAcentral is "tRNA.Asp". It matches the Rfam family "tRNA". From Rfam's summary of the family: Transfer RNA (tRNA) molecules are approximately 80 nucleotides in length. Their secondary structure includes four short double-helical elements and three loops (D, anti-codon, and T loops). Further hydrogen bonds mediate the characteristic L-shaped molecular structure. tRNAs have two regions of fundamental functional importance: the anti-codon, which is responsible for specific mRNA codon recognition, and the 3' end, to which the tRNAs corresponding amino acid is attached (by aminoacyl-tRNA synthetases). tRNAs cope with the degeneracy of the genetic code in two manners: having more than one tRNA (with a specific anti-codon) for a particular amino acid; and 'wobble' base-pairing, i.e. permitting non-standard base-pairing at the 3rd anti-codon position. The record is from RNAcentral. Lineage: Eukaryota; Metazoa; Chordata; Mammalia; Rodentia; Sciuridae.